RNAcentral lists this long non-coding RNA (343 nucleotides) under Carica papaya (papaya). RNAcentral's name for it is "long non-coding RNA (CPAP_LNC013110)". The record is from RNAcentral. Lineage: Eukaryota; Viridiplantae; Streptophyta; Magnoliopsida; Brassicales; Caricaceae.
CGCGUAGGUCUCCUACGAGCUCUCUCAGUGUGCAUGUGCACCUCGUGAAGUCCGCAUUCGAGUGCACUGCUAUAUGCGCACACCACACUCUAGGGACCUUGUCCUAAUACAUGCACGUGUCAAGACAGUGUCCCUCGCAUAUCCAGCACGUAAUCAUGCAUGUACUACAAUCUGCCACAGCAAAUCAAUUCCCUUUCCUUUAUUCCCAAGCACUCGUUUGCUAAUUUAUCUUUCCAAGUUUCAUUCCCAAACAUGCAUAAUCAUCAAAUAUGCAUUUAUCAACAACAUCACAUCAAAAUAUGCAACUAAGAACUGAUUUAAAAAUAAUUUUUCAUGCAUACAU